This 720-nucleotide ribosomal RNA is filed under the name uncultured fungus. RNAcentral's name for it is "SSU rRNA". It matches the Rfam family "Eukaryotic small subunit ribosomal RNA", at positions 336 to 1060 of the family's 1831-position model. Lineage: Eukaryota; Fungi. The record is from RNAcentral.
GAGGCCUACCAUGGUGGUAACGGGUAACGGGGUGUUAGGGCACGACACCGGAGAGGGAGCCUGAGAAACGGCUACCACAUCCAAGGAUGGCAGCAGGCGCGCAAAUUACCCAAUCCCGACACGGGGAGGUAGUGACAAUAAAUAACAAUACGGGGUUCUUUAGGAUCUCGUAAUUGGAAUGAGUACAAUUUAAAUCUCUUAACGAGGAACAAUUGGAGGGCAAGUCUGGUGCCAGCAGCCGCGGUAAUUCCAGCUCCAAUAGCGUAUAUUAAAGUUGUUGCAGUUAAAAAGCUCGUAGUUGAAUUUCGGGGUUAGUAGGUUGGUCAUGCCUCUGGUAUGUACUGGUCUCACUGAUUCCUCCUUCCUUAUGAACCGUAAUGCCAUUAAUUUGGUGUUGCGGGGAAUUUGGGCUGUUACUUUGAAAAAAUUAGAGUGUUUAAAGCAAGCUAACGCUUGAAUACAUUAGCAUGGAAUAAUGAAAUAGGACGUUCGAUCUUAUUUUGUUGGUUUCUAGGAUUGACGUAAUGAUUAAUAGGGAUAGUUGGGGGCAUUAGUAUUCAAUUGUCAGAGGUGAAAUUCUUGGAUUUAUUGAAGACUAACUACUGCGAAAGCAUUUGCCAAGGAUGUUUUCAUUAAUCAAGAACGAAAGUUAGGGGAUCGAAGACGAUCAGAUACCGUCGUAGUCUUAACCAUAAACUAUGCCGACUAGGGAUCGGAUGA